UGUGCUUGCACAGAUGACGACCGGCGCACGGGUGCGUAACGCGUAUAGAACCUACCUUUUACAGAGGAAUAGCCUUUAGAAAUGAAGAUUAAUGCCUCAUGGUAUUGUAGACUGGCAUCAGUUUAUAAUUAAAGAUUUAUCGGUAAAAGAUGGCUAUGCGUCCUAUUAGUUAGUUGGUAAGGUAACGGCUUACCAAGACAGCGAUAGGUAGGGGUCCUGAGAGGGAGAUCCCCCACACUGGUACUGAGACACGGACCAGACUCCUACGGGAGGCAGCAGUGAGGAAUAUUGGACAAUGGAGGAGACUCUGAUCCAGCCAUGCCGCGUGUAGGAAGAAUGCCCUAUGGGUUGUAAACUACUUUUAUACAGGAAGAAACACUGGUAUGUAUACCAGCUUGACGGUACUGUAAGAAUAAGGACCGGCUAACUCCGUGCCAGCAGCCGCGGUAAUACGGAGGGUCCGAGCGUUAUCCGGAAUCAUUGGGUUUAAAGGGUCCGCAGGCGGUCGAUUAAGUCA
RNAcentral lists this ribosomal RNA (517 nucleotides) under uncultured Polaribacter sp. RNAcentral's name for it is "bacterial SSU rRNA". It matches the Rfam family "Bacterial small subunit ribosomal RNA", at positions 75 to 590 of the family's 1533-position model. The record is from RNAcentral. Lineage: Bacteria; Pseudomonadati; Bacteroidota; Flavobacteriia; Flavobacteriales; Flavobacteriaceae.